UAUCAGCUUUCGACGGUAUGGUAUUGGCUUACCGUGGCAGUGACGGUUAACGGGGGAUUAGGGUUCGAUUCCGGAGAGGGAGCCUGAGAAACGGCUACCACAUCUAAGGAAGGCAGCAGGCGCGCAAAUUACCCAAUUCUAACAGUUUGAGAGAGGUAGUAACAAGAAAUAACAAUACAAGGCAGUUAAAAUGCUUUGUAAUUGGAAUGAUAGAAAUUUAAACCCUUUUUAAAGUAUCAAUUGGAGGGCAAGUCUGGUGCCAGCAGCCGCGGUAAUUCCAGCUCCAAUAGCGUAUAUUAAAAUUGUUGCAGUUAAAAAGCUCGUAGUUGAAGUUCUGCUAAAAGUAACCGGUCUGCUUUUAAUAAAAGUGGUAUCUUGGUAUGUAUUUAGCAAUGAUGUCCUUUGAAGUGUUUUUUACUUUAUUGUAAUAAAGCAUAUUCAGGACUUUUACUUUGAGAAAAUUAGAGUGUUUCUAGCAGGCCGACGCUUUGAAUACUGCAGCAUGGAAUAAUAAGAUAGGAUUUUAGUUCUACAUUGUUGGUUUUAAGAGCUAAAUUAAUGAUUGAUAGGGACAGUUGGGGGCAUUUGUAUUUAACUGUCAGAGGUGAAAUUCUUAGAUUUG
This 622-nucleotide ribosomal RNA is filed under the name Hepatozoon sp. RNAcentral's name for it is "SSU rRNA". It matches the Rfam family "Eukaryotic small subunit ribosomal RNA", at positions 313 to 928 of the family's 1831-position model. The record is from RNAcentral. Lineage: Eukaryota; Apicomplexa; Hepatozoidae.